AAGACCACCAGAUGCCGACUCAUGCCUUCUCCAAGGCUCCCUAGCUGGGGAACGAGGAGGUUGCGCCCUGCUGCGCUGAUACUGUGGUGGCCUCUGAUGAGGCUGGUAAGCAGUUACCCGACCUCCUGCUCCACUACCGGAGGCCUGGUGGUCCCUCCUCCUGAUCGGCCCAUUCCCCGGUAAUACUUUCUUCUCUUUCCUCCCCAACCCUUCUAACUGGUCUGUCUUAAUCCGUGCAGCCUUCUCCUCUUCAAUCUCGAUGUCUCUCUUAGCCUGUUCGUAUGCGGCUGCAUACAUUUGAAUAGCUGGGCUUCUCAAAUUGUACCACAGCCUUCCUAUCUUCACCCCUUCUUUCAAUCCCCUUAACGCCUGAGGGUGGUUGAAGGCUCCCAAGUCGAGGACAGUCCGAUGAAACCUUUUGAUGAAUUCCCGAAAGGUUUCUUGCUCCCCCUGUUUCAUGCUUUUCAGCUCCAUCAUGUCAUCUUCCGGUGCCACUACCCCACUAAACUGCUCCGCGAAUUCCUGGCACAUCUGCUUGAAGGUUUUAAUGCUGCCCCGAGGAAGUUUCCUGUACCAUUCUCGUGCACGUCCCUCAAGGGAUAGUGGGAACACCCUGCGCCUUUGGGAUUGAGAUAAUCCUUGUACCCCAGUUAUGUCGUUGAAGCGCUCUAUGUGCACCAGCGGAUCAGUUCCUCCCGAGUAUCUGAGGUCUGGGAGGCGGAAAUCUCUCGGAAUAACUGCCCUCAUGAUCUCUGCUGCGAGCGGUGAUUCUAUGUCCAGCAUUAUCCUCCAACCAGGGGCUCUGUUUCUUCCUUGCAUGUCGUCAAUUAUUUGCGCUAGUCUGCGCACUUCCUCCUCCAGCUGCACUGCACGACCAGGGUCACGUGCUGCAACUUGAUCCCACUCUUGCUCUACAUCGGUGUAGGGGGGUGCAGCAGCCCUCGAUCCUUUAUGGCCUCGUACACCUCAUCCAGGGACAUCUUCAAGGAAGUGUACCGCCCAUAGUCCGGGUUCUGGUCGAUCAGGUGCACUGUUCUUUCUUUGUUUGCCCCGCUCUGAGUGGGGGGCGGUGGAAGUACUUCUGGUCUACUCGCUCUGCUAUCGUGGGGAAGACCACCAGAUGCUGACUCAUGCCUUCUCCAAGGCUCCCUAGCUGGGGAACGAGGAGGUUGCGCCCUGCUGCGCUGAUACUGUGGUGGCCUCUGAUGAGGCUGGUAAGCAGUCACCCGACCUCCUGCUCCACCACCGGAGGCCUGGUGGUCCCUCCUCCUGAUCGGCUCAUUCUCCGGUAAUGCUUUCUUCUCUUUCCUCCCCAACCCUUCUAACUGGUCUGUCUUAAUCCGUGCAGUCUUCUCCUCUUCAAUCUCGAUGUCUCUCUUAGCCUGUUCGUAUGCGGCUGCAUACGUUUGAAUCGCUGGGCUUCUCAGAUUGUACCACAGCCUUCCUAUCUUCACCCCUUCCUUCAAUCCCCUUAACGCCUGAGGGUGGUUGAAGGCC
RNAcentral lists this long non-coding RNA (1497 nucleotides) under Citrus sinensis (sweet orange). RNAcentral describes it as "long non-coding RNA (CSIN_LNC004026)". The record is from RNAcentral. Lineage: Eukaryota; Viridiplantae; Streptophyta; Magnoliopsida; Sapindales; Rutaceae.